Pipra filicauda (Wire-tailed manakin) is the source of this 655-nucleotide long non-coding RNA. RefSeq lists it as uncharacterized. The record is from RefSeq and is a predicted model, not a curated record. NCBI's taxonomy places the organism in Eukaryota, Metazoa, Chordata, Aves, Passeriformes, Pipridae. The transcript is spliced from 3 exons.
GGACCUGCAGGUCCAUGGUAAGGCCUGCACAUCAGGCCUGUGCUGAGGGCACAGGGCAGAGCUGAAGGCAAGGCCUGCAGCCCACGCAGAGCACGUGGCAGAGCUGGAGGCCCUGCAGCCUUGUCAGUCGGGCUGUCAGUCAAGGCAGGGCUGCCUGGCAGCUCGCCCGCACCACACCCCUGCAGCCUGUGACUGCCUACAGCACAACUCAGCUGGGGCUGGAAAGCGCUGGUGGGAUAUCCUGCCGGGGAGGGAAAACUGAACUCUAGAAAUACAUGACACUCCAUGUGGUCUCUUUCUUCUCCCUCUCCUGCCGGCACCAUGUGAAUUGUCGAAUCUUGUCGCACAAGGGAAGAGAGAAGCCACAGGGCCUUCUAAGAAUGCUAUUUUUGCUCCUUGGUUCAUUCAUGGAUUCAGCUGUGAUGGAUGACUGACAGAAUAUGUCCCUCAAACCACACACAACAGUCAUAACAAAAGAGAUGCCCUUGCAUGUUGUACAGUGCGUGGGACAACACAGCUGUGCUAUUGAAUAUAUGGACCAUCACAGAACAGCUUAGAGGGAGAGAGUCAAGAAAGGAACCAGGAAUUCCACAUUUGGGUCAAGUUACUGACAUGACUGAUUCUACCAGCAAAUAAACAUGGGGAAAAGAACAAG